RNAcentral lists this ribosomal RNA (292 nucleotides) under uncultured bacterium. RNAcentral's name for it is "partial 16S ribosomal RNA". It matches the Rfam family "Bacterial small subunit ribosomal RNA", at positions 505 to 796 of the family's 1533-position model. The record is from RNAcentral.
GUGCCAGCAGCCGCGGUAAUACAGAGGUCCCAAGCGUUGUUCGGAUUCACUGGGCGUAAAGGGUGCGUAGGUGGCCGUGGAAGUUCGGUGUGAAAGCUCGGAGCUCAACUCCGAAAAGUCAUUGAAUACUCUGCGGCUAGAGGGUCGGAGGGGAGACUGGAAUUCUCGGUGUAGCAGUGAAAUGCGUAGAUAUCGAGAGGAACACCAGUGGCGAAGGCGAGUCUCUGGACGACUCCUGACACUGAGGCACGAAAGCUAGGGGAGCAAACAGGAUUAGAUACCCUGGUAGUCC